RNAcentral lists this ribosomal RNA (786 nucleotides) under Triticum aestivum (bread wheat). RNAcentral's name for it is "partial small subunit ribosomal RNA". The record is from RNAcentral. Lineage: Eukaryota; Viridiplantae; Streptophyta; Magnoliopsida; Poales; Poaceae.
AUGGCGGCACCAGCAGGAGAUUCCUCCGGCGGCGACAAGUACAGGUCUCACCUGGCCGGCGAGGGCGAGAAGAACACCGUUUGGCGGCACGGCGCGCCGCCCACCUACGACGCCGUGAACAGCCUCUUCGAGGCCGGGAGGACUCAGGAGUGGGCGAAGGGGUCGCUGGAGGAGACGGUGCAGAACGCGAUCAAGACGUGGGAGAUGGAGCUGUCGCACAAGGCCCGCAUCGGGGACUUCAAGUCGGUGAGCCCCGGCCGGUUCACCCUGUCCGUGAACGGCGGGCGGGCCCUGACGGGGGAGGAGACGCUGGCCAUGGGCAGCUACAACGCGCUGCUCGCCAGCCCGAUCCUGCCGGGCACGGGCGCGUACGACGCCGCCGCCGAGACGUUCGAGUCCUCGCACGACCUGUUCCGCUCCGCCUUCCCGCGCGGCUUCGCGUGGGAGGUGGUCAAGGUCUACUCCGGCCCGCCGGUGAUCGCCUUCAAGUUCCGGCACUGGGGCCACAUGGAGGGGCCCUACAAGGGCCACGCCCCCACCGGGGACAAGGUCGAGUUCUACGGCGUCGCCGUGCUCAAGGUGGACGAGCAGCUGCGGGCGGAGGACGUGGAGGUGUUCUACGACCCGGGGGAGCUGCUCGCGGGGCUUAUCAAGGGUCCCAAGGAGGAAGACGAGGAGGCGGCGGCGCUCGCCGGGAGGCUCCGGGAGGCGGCUACGGUGUCGGCAUCAGGUGCCGACGCGCAGCCGCAGGCCUGCCCCUUCCUUGGCUCUGGAAAGCAGGGGUGA